UAGAAUAAAAAGUGUAUCAUUUUUUAAAUCUAGAACACUUUCUAUACCUUAGGCCCAUGAGUGUAAAUGAAAUCUUUUGAAGAGUUUUUGACAAAGGGAUUUAUUCUGCUGAGGAAGCCAAAAGAAAUUACAGGCCACAAGUUUCUUUAAAGCUGUAUUAACAUAUCUUGCCUUAAAAUGUUGAGUGUUUUGCUUGGGUGACAUUUGAGAAUUCCAGCAUGGAGGAGGAUAGAGAAUUCUGCCUGGGUUUGGUUCUAAAGCCAUUUUUUUUCACUGUUGAUCUCACUUAAGUAUCAAACUCAAUCUGAGGGCAAUGUAUAUAUGCUAAAUAUAGAAAUUAGGAGAAGUUACUCAAAUUUAUGCUUUUGCAAAGAUUCGUUCUUGGAUUUGUGUAAAUUUAGUUGAUCCAGUAAAUCUAAAGUGUUGAAAAUUCUGAAGACAUAUACCAAGUACUAUGUAAAGAAUUUUUUUAAAGGCGUUUAGUGACUGUUUCUUAUGGUUUGGUUUUGUUUCUUGGGGAGCCUGUGGACAAAAUGCUGCCAAGUAUCUAACUAACUUAAAUGUAUACACUCCUGCCAGGGGAAUUUUUGAAAAUGGGAAGUUGGAAAUGAAAUAGGUUGCUGUGUGCAUUAAUCAUCUUCACACUGGAUUUAGUCACCUACAUGACUAAAUUCUUUGUAGGUCUGGAAUGGCAGGGCAGAAGACUUUAAUGCGCUAUUACUGAGUACUGUAAAAUAAAUGCUUUUUGGAUUCUCAAUUAAAGCAAUUUUGUGUGCGUGCCUGGAGCAGGAAAAUAGUUCGGAGCUUUGUAGCCUUCUCCAAUAUUUUCUUGACAAAAUUGAGAGAUGUUAAGAACAUUGUUUUUAAGAAUAUAUGUUUAUUUGGCCUUCUAGUAUUAUGGUGUGAAGAGAUAAGAGCCUUUGUUUCACUGAAAAAGCUGGGCUGACUUAAGGGUGUUAAAGGAAGGAUGGAGGGAGGGAGGAGUUUGUUGGAAAGCAGUCACCUGUCAAAACAGAGAGUGGGUGGGAAAGGAACAUUUAUCUUGGGGAGCAAAAGUUAACUUUUAAACUUGACCCCUGCUGGUUUUUAAAAGCUUUUCCUUUUGGUCCCUGACAGUCAUCCAAGCUUUAUGUCAUUUCAAAGGAUUAUUUCUGUCCUGCUUUCCUAAUAGCCUCAAAAAAAGUUGAAAGUAUCAUUGGAAGUCUAACAUUUUUAUAUCUGUGAGUUAUGGUUCUUAGUACAACAGUGUCCAUGUUGUUACAUUGUUCACUGCUGAAAUAGACCCCACUGAGUCAUAUUUUAGGGCCAGAUCUAUUGGGGAUGAGAAUUCUUUCAGUGUGUGAGGCCUCAUGCUUCCUGAUUUAGUAACCUUUCCUAUAGGUGGCGAUCCUAAAAAGCCCCAUCAAUUUAAACUGUUCCGGUAGUUUUACGUAUUCUCACCCCCUUUUGAGUUAUAUUUCAAUAUUUCUCACAGAUGGGAUGGGAAAGUGAAAGAAAACUAUAGGUAGCAAUUAGACUUGACAGGUAUAUACAAAAUGCUUGUACUUUGUCAGAAAGUAUUGAUUUACUUUUCACAGCAGCUAGACUAAGCCCCCGACUUAUAAAUAUGAGGGUUUCAUUUGGAGAUCACCACUGUGAGUUAAAAUGAAAUCAAACAUUAGUCACGGUGUCUACCUAAUUGGAGCUACUAGUACAAAUUUUGUCCUGGUGAAAUGUAGCAAAGUUUGAAGUACUAUAUAUAGAGAAUGUGGUAAUUUUGAUGAUGAUAGUUUACUUAGAUUCCCAGGACUAAUCAAAAGCAUUUAAUGGAACCUGGUGCUGGUUCUAGAGGAUACAUUUGAUCUAAUGCCAGUAGGAUUUUGAUAGUUGAAAAAGGUUUUGGGGAAUCAUCUAGUCCAGAGGAUCUCAAACUUAACCACAUAUCCAAGUCACCUUGAGGUUAAAAACAAGGCCUGCUAAGCUCUUCCUUUAGUUUCUUAUUCAGUAUGUCUGAGUAUGUUUUCAUUAUCUUCAUUUCUAACAAGAUUCCAGGUGAUGCCAAUAAAGCUGUUCCAGGGACAUUUUAAGAACCAAUGAUCUAGCCCAAACUCCACGAGUACUUUAGAUAUUCAGGGACACAGACUCAAGACACACGUCUAGAGUGCUGCCUACCACCAAGUCAUAAAAUAAUCUUGACUGAACUCUAUAGCUAAGGAGGACAUACACCAGUUACACUAAGACUAUUAAACUGUGAAGUGUGAAUGAAGUAGCCACACUGAUAGAUGAGUGACCAUUUUCACAUUUGAAUAGUUUGGGUAUGGCUUUCAUUGUUAAUUCAGAAAGUAAGGAAAGUGAAUAAAUGAUUAAAAUAGGGGUAUGGCCUAAAUAAUCAGAAUGAAUGUUUUCUCUCCCCCCACCGCAAAAUUGAAAGUAUCUUUGCUAAAGUGAACACUUUCACAUAUUUGUCUUCUCUUCAAGAUUAAAAGGCAAGAAUUUCAUCUUUAUAUGCUUUCUGGCAAGGAUUUUUUUAAAAACUGUAUUUGAGAAUGUAAAUCUUCAGGUCAUGGUAAGUGUGUGUGUGUGUGUGUGUGUGUGUGUGUGUGUGUGUAAAUAAAUACAUACGUUCAGUUUUCUUAGCCAGACUUUCAAGGAAUCAGUCGAUUCAGUGUCAUGUAGAUCUAUAGUUAUCAAUUCUGGGACAACGCACAGUAUAAAACAGUGCCAUGCAUCUUGUUACAGUAUACAUCUUGAUCUUUUGGAACUGUGAAGGUUGAUCUAUUUUGUAAAUUGGAGGGGGGGCAUCUAUUUAUAUUUUUCCUCUGCUAUUAAACAGAAAUCUCUGAGGAGAUACUUUUUUUUUUAAGAAAGUAGAAAUUACAUGCUUUUUUGUCUGAUUGACUAAAAUUGCUAUUUUUUAAAUGAAUUAUCUGGCAAAAUUAUGUUUGCCUAAGUUUAUCAGAGGCUUGAAAAUGUCAUACGUUUAUUUGUGGUAAUUGUGCAUAUAUCACAAAACACCCUUUAAAAGUAGAAAAGAGAAUAUUGAUGCAUUGAGAAUACAGAUGCCCCAAAGAACUGAGAUUGUUCCUUACUGUUAAGAAUAUGGUUACAGUGGAAAUUGGUAAAUUGAUUCAUUCAUUAUUCAACAAGUAUUUAUUGAGUAUAUACUGUUAGCUGUGAUGUAAGGACUAAUCCUUAAAUGGGUGGAAGCCAGACAAGAGAGCAACAACUUUGUGCUUUCAUCACCAUAGGCUGCGAUAAUAGUGUGUAUUAAAAAACAGUAGGAAUAUAUGGAAAAGCACAGUUACCUGUACCAUCAAUUAUAAUAGAAUCCUGUGGGUCUGUCUGGCAGACAAUAGAGCAGGUAAAUUUGUUGAAAAAUGGGACUUUACUUUGAAAGGUAUAUGGAUAUUGGUUGAGGUAACUAAUAGUUGUUUUGUUGCAUGUAGAACUUUAAUUUUGUGCAUCAUUUUCAACUAGCUUUUUGAAAUUACCUAAAGUCGAAUGAGUAGAAAUAAGUUUACUUUUAUAUCUUCAUAUCAAAGGGAAGAAAGGAAAAUGAAGAAAGAUUUAUGAAAUUUGUUCACUGUAUUUUUUAAGUGCAGAAACAAAGAAGGGAAGGGCAGUUCAGGUUAUAUUCCUAAAGAAGCAAUUGUUGGCAUAAAGUCUUUGGGGGCUCCUCAUGUAAAGAAGAUUCAGGGUAUUUAUUUUGAAAAAAAUAAUCUCCUAAAAAUGAGUAUGCCAAAGAAUUAAGCUGACAUUUUAAGUUUGCUAAGCUUAUAGGUAUUUUAUACAGAAACUCUUGUUCUCACAUCUUUAGUACUUAUUGGAAGAAAGCAACUCAGAGAAAGAAAUGUUGGGCAACAAACUAUGAGAGGUGACAAUAAUGGCAAUUAUUGUAAAACCAUAUGAACUGGAGGUAGUUGUGAUUAUUAACUUCUAUAGUUUGCAAAAUGAUUUCUUGUGAUUGUUUUUUGUAGACUAUUUCAUGAAUUUAACAACAUGCUUUUUAAAGGUAAAAAGUUACAGAAUUUACAGAGCUAGCAGAAUAGUUUAUCUGAAAGUACUUCAUUGUUUUUUUUUAAAUCUGAUUAUAACUUUAUGAGAUGCAAAUCUAUUAUUUAUAAUUCUGUAGCUGAAGUAAAGUUCUUCAUAUUUUACCUCAGACUAUAAAAAGUUUUCAAGGAGUUCCCCAGUGGCACAGCAUGUUAAGGAUCUGAAGUUGUCACUGCUGUGUGUUGAGUUCGAUCCCUGGCCCAAGAACUUCUACAUGCUGUGGGUGCGUCCCCCCCAAAAAAAAAUAUUCUUUUUUUAUUUCCUUUUUAGGGCUGCACUCUUGGCAUAUGUAAGUUCCCAGGCAGAGCCACAGCCACCAGCCUGUGACAUAGCCACAGCAAUGCCAGAUCCCAGCUGCAUCAGCAACCUGCACUGCACCUUGCAGCAUUGCUGGAUCUUUAACCCACUGAGGCCAGGGAUCGAACUCCCAUCUUCAUGGGUACUAGUUGGGUUCUAACCCACUGAGCCACAAUGGGAACUCCUCAAAAUAUUCUUUUUAAAAGCUAACAUUUUAUUAAAUUAUAUUUCUUUCAAGAAAAGAACCUCUACAGAUUUGUACUAGUACCAGCAUAAUUCUAUAAGAACAUAUAUAUAGAUAUAUGUGUAUAUGUGUGUGUGUGUGUGUGUGUGUGUGUGUGUAUGUGUUUGUGUUUUGGCUGCACCCAUGGGGAGGUUCCCAGGCCAGGGAUUGAACUCAUGCCACAGCAGUAACCACAGCCACAGCAGUGACAAUGCUGUAUCUUUAACCUGCUGAGCCACUAGGGAACUCCAAUAAGAUAUAUUUUAAAUAGUUUUGCAUUCUACAUUAUAAGUAGGUAAGAGAAUUGCAAGUGUAUCUCUAAGUUUGAGUUCAACAUCAUUCAACAUCUAGUAGAAAAAAGGCUUGAGGUGGGAUUCCUUUACUCUGAGUUUGGUUAUCUUAGCUUUAUCAUGUUACUUGUUAUUUUUCUUUUUGUGUAUCAUUUCAUUCAUGCAACUUGGAUUUGUGCAAAUGGUUUUCUCUGUCACAAAUGUAAUCCAUAUUAAUUGAUGAAAAAAAAAUCUAUGAACUCCUUAACUAAUAGCUAUAUAAUGUGUUUUUCCAUGUGAUAGUGUAAAGGAAAAAGUAUUUUUCACACUAUGUUUGAGGUCCAGACUGAAACAGAUCCAACUAGUUGGAGAAGACUGCCCAUUAAAGAGAUAAUACCUUUUGAUAUGGGAAUAGUCUCUCUUUCAUUUUUAAAACUGAUAAAGGAAGUUUUAAAAAAAUGAAUUUGAUCAUAGGAAUAUUCAUUUUCACAUAUUUGCGGCAGCCUAAAAAUAUUUCCAGACCAUUUCUUCUUCCUUACUGAUCUUUUGCUGAGGCCAAAGAACAAGAAAAAAACCUAAAUGUACUCUCUUUGAGAGAAUCUUCUACCUUGACAGGCAGGGCCAGCCAUAAAUACAUCCAAACUAAUCUGAAGGGCAAAAUUGUUUUCCUACAUUUUUGUACAAAUCAGCUUUUAUUUGGUCACCGAGGAAGCAUGAAUAGUGAUAAAGGCCAGGGAAUGUGUUCCUUAACCAUUAUGGCAGCCAGAGGGCUAGAUCUCUGGUUGCUAAGGUGGGAGAGAGUGACAGAGCUGAGAAGGCCAGCCCUGCAGGCUGAGGUAGAUUCAUUCCUCAGCCCACACCCUUAUGCCUGCAUUCCUACAAUCCUAGGGGAUCUGGUGUCCAAGUUUGUGACUCAUUUCCAUGCAGGAUUUACUAAGGCUUAGGGCCGCCUCUGGCCAGAGGUGAAGAAGCCUAAGGAUGGGGUGAUACUGUACUGUAUUACAGAUACUGUAAUAAAUUCCACUCUAACUCAGGAUUGCUCAACCUCAGUACUUUUAAUAUUUGCAGCCAGAUAAUUCUUUUUUUUUUUUGCGGAGUGCUGUCCUGUAUGUUUUAGGGCAUUUAGCACCAUCCCUGGCUUCUACCCACUAGAUUCUAGUUGCACCUCUUCCCACCCCAGCUAUGACAACAAAAAAUGUCUGCUGACAUUGCCAACUAACCCAGGAAGUGGGUGGCGGGAGUGGAAGGGUUAUGCUUAAUAGUCCCUGGUAGAGAAUCACUGCUCAACUUGACCCGUAGAGCUGAGAAGGCAUAAACCAGGGAAGAGAGGGGUUGAACCUAGGAGCAGUUAAGACUUUCCUUACUCCAGAGCAUUGCCAUCAUUGCUUCUCCUUUAUAAUAUUGGUGUUCUCUAUAGUGCUUGGAACAGUAUCAUUUUGAUCAGCCCAUUAAAUCCACACCUGAGAGAAAAACACAAUAUACCGGGACUAAGAUUUCUUGGCAAUGUUGGUUACCUGGAAGGAAAGGGAGUAUGAUUCAAAAGGCAGGUGUGCUCUGCUUAGGGUGAUGAACUCAGAUGGGCAGAGAGGACCUCACGACUUGCUGAUAGCUAAGUAGAAGGUCCUAGAAGUAGGAAGGAAUCCUGAAAGGGAGGUCAAGGGCAAUAGUGUUGCAGCUUUGUGUGGAGCCCCUUAAGCCUCCUCUGGAAGACAUCUGGAAGGUUUUCAGCAUCACCCAGCUUCCUCCACUCAUCUCAGUGUCCUUCCAGUUAAUCUAGGCGCCUCCCUAUUCCACACCUGGACUCCUAACUCUAGGGUAGAAAGGGUUCGUUUUAUGUAUCCCAUCCCUCCUUACUUUCCCUUUUGUAAUUCCUCCCACUCAUCUCCCUUCCUUUGUUUUUCUUGGCUAACUUCAGAACUAAUGACUGUGUCCAGGGCAGACCUCUGCUGCCUGACCGCACACAUCUACCUGUGCCCAAAGCCCCAUGCCAGGCUGCCAUGAAGUGGGCAGCAGGGGCUGCCCUGUGAUGAAGGGCCUCUGGAGUCUGACAGGAUCUAGCCAACUGCCCACAGGCGGUGGCUGACAACCCCUGAAAUACAGCAUUAAGGACUAUCCUGUCAGCAAAUUUAUGAACAGGGAAUUAAUUCAGUGACCAUGGACCUUCCAUUUACCUGGAACCAGUCAUGAUUGUUUUGGGUCUUAAGUUUUAAGUGAGAGCAUAUGUCUUAAAACCUAUGUAAUAUUCCUCUAGAAACUUAUAACAACCAGAGACUUUACCUGGUGGGACAAUUGUGAUUCUACAUGUCAUGGGGCACAUUUGGAAAUCUCACAUUCUUUGUUACUGAACGAGAACAAUCUCCAAGCCCAUCAUAGCUAGAAAAGUCUCUCUAAGAAAGGUAGGCAAUAAACAAAACAAUUCUUCACAAUACAAAGCACAGUUUGGUGAGUGAUUCAGAAAAGUCAAAACUUCUUCUUAAAUUUGAGAACCAUCUUGUAUUAGGAUGGAUGAUCUUGAUAGAGAUAUUUUAUUCUCUGUAGUAUCUUUGUAUUAAAUAAAAAAUGGAAACAUCCUAUUUAAUUGGUAAUGUGACCACAAUUAAGAUAGAGAAAACAGAUCUGGUAUAUCUAAAUUUCCUGUUUUUCUUAUAUUCUGCUUCCCUCUUUUAUAAUCAUCUGUGCUGUUCUGCAAUAUUUUUUUCCUUAUCUCUAAGUUUUAUUGGUUUUGGGGAGUGUUAUGUUUUCUUUCUAAUUAAAAAGUCUAUAAUGAGGAAAAUAUUGUUAUGAAUCACUGUCACUAGUAGGCAAGAAGAUAUAUGUAUUCAUAAAUUUAAACAAAUAAAUUGUGUAGGACGUUUUGCAGUGUCACUAUUUGCAUUUACCUUUUAUAGCCUAGAAAUGAUUUGUAUGCAGCAUUUCCAUGUAAAGGAAAUACACUUUUCUUUGAUUAAUUACCAUUUGUUUAUUAUUUGGGGAAAAAAGGUAGAAAUGCUUUUUAAAAUUAUUAUCAUGAACUCUUUCUAGUUUGUUUUAUAGCAAAAUUACUAAUAAUUUUCCUUUUUAAGUCUUUCCUCUUAAGAAUAGCACUUCAUGAAUAGAAAAAAAGCAUGUAUGUGAAUUAUCCAAAAGUCAUACAGUAGUUGUUUGGAUUUAUCAUGGUGGUGGUGAUUUGGCAAAUUAUUUACCCACUUAAUGACAAGUAAUAUAAUUGAUUUGUACUAGCCUACAGAGAAACAUCAAAAACACAUGUGCAAUGGGACUAGAGUGACUUUUUGGUGUCAAUGAUUUUGGAGAAUGUGUAAAGUAGAUAAUAUACCAUAAAUAAAUUUAUAAAAAGUUGAUCUAGA
Molecule: long non-coding RNA, 8165 nt
Filed under: Sus scrofa (pig)
Lineage: Eukaryota; Metazoa; Chordata; Mammalia; Artiodactyla; Suidae
Description: lncRNA (ENSSSCG00000063368.1)
Source: RNAcentral